CCCUGCGGAGACCUUACGGACACGGGCAGAGCCAGAAGCACUCCCGGGCUGCUCCUUACGGCAUCGCGGCUCUCCGCGUCCCUCAGAGCGCCUGGCCCGCCGCACAGACCGGCUUAAUGCAGACGCGUCGUGGCAGGGAGCUGCCUUCGCCCGGGAAGAUCUGAAUAGCUGCUAGAGAAUAAGACAGGCAUCCCGAGAAGGUCUCCAGCUUCCCAAAGAGGAGGAAAACAGAGAGCAGUGACCGCUUCAGGCAACAGCAACAAACUGCAUUGGGAUCAGGCAAGAGAUGUAGACCUCACCCCCUCCCAAAGGAGUGCUUGCUGGGAGUCUCCCUAGGGACUGGCCCACUCCCAGAGAGGAGGGCGCACCAGGAGCGAUGUCUCUGCAGCACACACGUGACUGGCCGUGACAAGCCCUGUGCUAUCAGAAGUACCAGGCUAUUUUUGCUGGAGGCAUAUCCCCAUCACAGAAUAAAAGGAGCUAGAAGAGAUCCAAC
Long non-coding RNA from Vidua chalybeata, 496 nucleotides. RefSeq lists it as uncharacterized. The record is from RefSeq and is a predicted model, not a curated record. The transcript has 3 exons. Lineage: Eukaryota; Metazoa; Chordata; Aves; Passeriformes; Viduidae.